CCUACGUGAGGCAGCAGUGGGGAAUAUUGGACAAUGGGCGAAAGCCUGAUCCAGCCAUGCCGCGUGUGUGAAGAAGGCCUUCGGGUUGUAAAGCACUUUCAGUGGGGAAGAAAGCCUUGGGGCUAAUACCCUCGAGGAAGGACAUCACCCACAGAAGAAGCACCGGCUAACUCCGUGCCAGCAGCCGCGGUAAUACGGAGGGUGCGAGCGUUAAUCGGAAUUACUGGGCGUAAAGCGCGCGUAGGCGGUCUGAUAAGCCGGUUGUGAAAGCCCCGGGCUCAACCUGGGAACGGCAUCCGGAACUGUCAGGCUAGAGUGCAGGAGAGGAAGGUAGAAUUCCCGGUGUAGCGGUGAAAUGCGUAGAGAUCGGGAGGAAUACCAGUGGCGAAGGCGGCCUUCUGGACUGACACUGACGCUGAGGUGCGAAAGCGUGGGUAGCAAACAGGAUUAGAUACCCCAGUAGU
RNAcentral lists this ribosomal RNA (464 nucleotides) under Vreelandella stevensii. RNAcentral's name for it is "partial 16S ribosomal RNA". It matches the Rfam family "Bacterial small subunit ribosomal RNA", at positions 338 to 794 of the family's 1533-position model. Lineage: Bacteria; Pseudomonadati; Pseudomonadota; Gammaproteobacteria; Oceanospirillales; Halomonadaceae. The record is from RNAcentral.